RNAcentral lists this ribosomal RNA (205 nucleotides) under uncultured bacterium. Its description in RNAcentral is "partial 16S ribosomal RNA". It matches the Rfam family "Bacterial small subunit ribosomal RNA", at positions 570 to 774 of the family's 1533-position model. The record is from RNAcentral.
CGUAGGCGGCUCAUGAAGGCUGUGGUGAAAGUCCGGGGCUCAACCUCGGAUCGGCCGUGGCGACUCGUGGGCUGGAGCACUGUAGAGGCGGGUGGAAUUCCGGGUGUAGCGGUGGAAUGCGUAGAGAUCCGGAAGAACACCAGUGGCGAAGGCGGCCCGCUGGGCAGUGGCUGACGCUGAGGCGCGACAGCGUGGGGAGCAAACA